This 606-nucleotide ribosomal RNA is filed under the name Amphidinium massartii. RNAcentral describes it as "eukaryotic LSU rRNA". It matches the Rfam family "Eukaryotic large subunit ribosomal RNA", at positions 34 to 672 of the family's 3401-position model. The record is from RNAcentral. Lineage: Eukaryota; Dinophyceae; Amphidiniales; Amphidiniaceae.
UUAAGCAUAUAAGUAGGUGGAGGAAAAGAAACCGAAUGGGAAUCUCUUAGUAAUGGCGAAUGAAAAGAGAUGUGCUUAGUGUCAAAAUCAGGUUAUCCUGAAUUGUAGGCUGUAGGGGUGAUGCCAACUUGGGUGCAGGUGAAAGUCUCUUGGAAAGGAGCACCAGUGAGGGUCAGGGUCCCGCCUGUCAUCUGUCAUCCCUUGUAGACGGUUUGCCCAUUGAGAGUCGUGUUCUUCUGGAAUAGAGCGCCAAACGGGUGGUACUCUUUGCCUAAGGAGCAUUACGUGCUUGAGACCAAUAGCGAACAAGUACCAUGAGGGAAGGGUGAAAAGGACUUUGGAAAGAGGGUUAAGAGGGCUUGAAGCUGCUGGAAGGGAAGUGGAUUGGACUUUUACUCCGCGGCAAGAUUGCAGGCUGUAGUCUUCACUUGUGGGGAACUGCGUACUGUGUCUCUUGCCGCAUGGUUGAGCUCUGUGUAGCGCUCAGAAUCUUAGCGUGGACUGGAGAAGGGUUGCGAUCUGGACCAUGUCUUUGCSUACUCUUAGCGCAACAUUUAUCUUGACCAAAUAGUUCAAUUUUACCCGUCUUGAAACACGGACCAAGGA